GAUGAACGCUGGCGGCGUGCCUAACACAUGCAAGUCGAGCGAACAGAUGAGGAGCUUGCUCCUCUGACGUUAGCGGCGGACGGGUGAGUAACAUGUGGACAACCUAACUAUAAGACUGGGAUAACUUCGGGAAACCGGAGCUAAUACCGGAUAAUAUAUUGAACCGCAUGGUUCAAUAGUGAAAGACGGUUUUGCUGUCACUUAUAGAUGGAUCCGCGCCGCAUUAGCUAGUUGGUAAGGUAACGGCUUACCAAGGCAACGAUGCGUAGCCGACCUGAGAGGGUGAUCAGCCACACUGGAACUGAGACACGGUCCAGACUCCUACGGGAGGCAGCAGUAGGGAAUCUUCCGCAAUGGGCGAAAGCCUGACGGAGCAACGCCGCGUGAGUGAUGAAGGUCUUCGGAUCGUAAAACUCUGUUGUUAGGAAAGAACAAAUGUGUAAGUAACUAUGCACGUCUUGACGGUACCUGAUCAAAAAGCCACGGCUAACUACGUG
This 497-nucleotide ribosomal RNA is filed under the name uncultured bacterium. Its description in RNAcentral is "partial 16S ribosomal RNA". It matches the Rfam family "Bacterial small subunit ribosomal RNA", at positions 28 to 507 of the family's 1533-position model. The record is from RNAcentral.